UACCAGCACCCCGAGUGGUCGGGACGUUUAUUGGGCCUAAAGCAUCCGUAGCCGGUUCUACAAGUCUUCCGUUAAAUCCACCUGCUUAACAGAUGGGCUGCGGAAGAUACUAUGGAGCUAGGAGGCGGGAGAGGCAAGCGGUACUCGAUGGGUAGGGGUAAAAUCCGUUGAUCCAUAGAAGACCACCAGUGGCGAAGGCGGCUUGCCAGAACGCGCUCGACGGUGAGGGAUGAAAGCUGGGGGAGCAAACCGG
This 253-nucleotide ribosomal RNA is filed under the name uncultured bacterium. RNAcentral describes it as "partial 16S ribosomal RNA". It matches the Rfam family "Archaeal small subunit ribosomal RNA", at positions 474 to 727 of the family's 1478-position model. The record is from RNAcentral.